This 253-nucleotide ribosomal RNA is filed under the name uncultured bacterium. RNAcentral's name for it is "partial 16S ribosomal RNA". It matches the Rfam family "Bacterial small subunit ribosomal RNA", at positions 524 to 776 of the family's 1533-position model. The record is from RNAcentral.
UACGUAGGGGGCAAGCGUUAUCCGGAUUUACUGGGUGUAAAGGGAGCGUAGACGGCAGGGCAAGUCUGGAGUGAAAGGCAGGGGCCCAACCCCUGGACUGCUCUGGAAACUGUCCGGCUGGAGUGCAGGAGAGGUAAGUGGAAUUCCUAGUGUAGCGGUGAAAUGCGUAGAUAUUAGGAGGAACACCAAUGGCGAAGGCGGCUUACUGGACUGUAACUGACGUUGAGGCUCGAAAGCGUGGGGAGCAAACAGG